UCCGUAGGUGAACCUGCGGAAGGAUCAUUAUCGAGUUUUGACUGGGUUGUAGCUGGCCUUACGAGGCAUGUGCACGCCCUGCUCAUCCACUCUACACCUGUGCACUUACUGUGGGUUACAGACGGUGAAGCAGGCUCCUUACGAGGAGCUUGUGAAGCGUGUCUGUGCCUGCGUUUAUCACAAACUCUUUAAAGUAUUAGAAUGUGUAUUGCGAUGUAACGCAUCUAUAUACAACUUUCAGCAACGGAUCUCUUGGCUCUCGCAUCGAUGAAGAACGCAGCGAAAUGCGAUAAGUAAUGUGAAUUGCAGAAUUCAGUGAAUCAUCGAAUCUUUGAACGCACCUUGCGCUCCUUGGUAUUCCGAGGAGCAUGCCUGUUUGAGUGUCAUGAAAUCUUCAACCUGCAAGCUUUUAAUCGGUUUGUAGGCUUGGACUUGGAGGCUAUUGUCGGCCUUUAUUGGUCGGCUCCUCUUAAAUGCAUUAGCUUGGUUCCUUGUGGAUCGGCUUGUCGGUGUGAUAAUGUCUACGCCGCGACUGUGAAGCGUUUGGGCAGGCUUCUAACCGUCUCACUUUAGAGACAGCCUUAUGACCUCUGACCUCAAAUCAGGUAGGACUACCCGCUGAACUUAAGCAUAU
RNAcentral lists this ribosomal RNA (634 nucleotides) under Ganoderma sp. 3 YD-2015. RNAcentral describes it as "eukaryotic LSU rRNA". The stretch from base 233 to 386 matches the Rfam family "5.8S ribosomal RNA". The record is from RNAcentral. Lineage: Eukaryota; Fungi; Basidiomycota; Agaricomycetes; Polyporales; Polyporaceae.